This 1248-nucleotide long non-coding RNA is filed under the name Canis lupus dingo (dingo). Its description in RNAcentral is "lncRNA (ENSCAFG00020025675.1)". Lineage: Eukaryota; Metazoa; Chordata; Mammalia; Carnivora; Canidae. The record is from RNAcentral.
CCAACUCCAGCCUCGGCCAGGGCUCUGCUCGCCCCCUCGGUUCCCGUGCAGCCUUCCUCCCGCCACCGGAGCCAGCCCCGCGGUGGCAAGCUGAGGAGGAGCCAAGAAAGGAGCACUAAGGAGAAGAAAGACCUGGCUGGGUCUGGUUGGUGUCUGCAGUGCCAGAAAGGGAGAGGGAGGCGGCGGCGGCGAAGGCGGCGGCGAGCGGCGACCACGGCCGCGCGGGACGUGAGGCCCGAGAGCAGCCGACGGCGGCGGCCGCCCCAGAGCCUCGCGCCGGGGCCGUUAGUCAGCAGAACGCGAGCCCGUGUGGAGGAGCAGGGCCGGCGCGAGGCGAGGCUCGAGAGCGCGAGCCGCCCCCCCCGGGCGCCGCCGUCCUUCGUCGUCCCGGCGCCGGGGGCCGCAGCCCUCGUCCCCCCCUCCUCGGCCGCGCCCGCCCGCAGGCCGGCACAGUCCGGCGGCGGCGGCGGCGGCGGCGGCGGCGGCGGCGGCGUGGGUCGCACCUUGUGGAGGGCAGCGCGUCGGCAGAGGCCGUCUCUCCCGGCCCUUUCUUCCCGACGCCUUGGCUGCGGCCCCUCGGGUGCAGGUGCGUGGGGCGGCGGCGGGCCGGGCUCUGCGGCCGGGCGCGGGGAGGGGGCGCUAGGCCGGGAGCCGCAGCGCGGGAGGGCCGAGCCCGGGCCGGGAGGGGGGAGGGGGAGGGGGAGGGGAACGGGAGGCGUCUUUGUUGUUGGCGACCGGGAUCGCUCUCGGCGGCGGCGGAAGGCGAGGAAGCCGCGGAAGCCGCCUCGGGUCGCGCUUCUCCCGUGGCUCGGGGAAGGCGUGGGGAGAGGUCGGAGGGUCGCUGCGGUCCCAGAGGCUGUGGGAGUCCGGGGGCGGCAGGGGGGACGGACGGACGGACGGACUGGGAAAGGUCUCGGGUCCGCCUUGCGGGGCAGGGUCUCGUUUCACUUGUUUUGCUCUCGCCCCGUGGACAGGAAGAGGGGGUCAGGUUCGCCUCCUCCUGCCGGGCUCGCUGUGCGGCUGGCGAUGCCCGAAGGGUUUCUCCGGAGUGUCCUCGUGUGUGCCAGCCCCGCUCCGACCUGGGAUCGGCCCGGUUCCCGGCGGGCCGUCGCAGGGCUCCUUUUCUCGGGGUGGCUCUGCCCGAAUCUUAACCGGUUUCAAACUCUGUCCUCGAACCCUAGGCUGGGCUCCUCCGUAGUUGCUUUUGAGUUGGAAAAGGGGAGACUUUGUUUGGAAAUUUCUUUUUAA